Molecule: non-coding RNA, 1246 nt
Organism: Zootermopsis nevadensis
Lineage: Eukaryota; Metazoa; Arthropoda; Insecta; Blattodea; Termopsidae
Source: RefSeq, a predicted model, not a curated record
AAUUGGGUUGUGUGUGGAUUUGCAUAGAAGAAUGUAGUUGGAAAAGCUGAAGGAAAGAGACCACUCUGGGGAAUCUUAGGCAUGUAUUAAAAAUUAUUAUUAUGAUGGAUCUCUAAAUUUGGCGUGAGGAUGUGGACUAAAUUCAUCUGGCUCAGGACAGGUCCAAUGGCAGGUUAAUGAACCUUCGAUGUCCAUAAAAAGCAUAGAGAGUAUACUGACUAGUCAAGUGACUUUCAAUUUCUCAAGGACUAUGCUAUGGAUAUGGCAUGCUUGUAUCACGUCCAUAAUGGUGCUGGGUACUGUCUUUUGGAAAGAGGCUGGUUCAUUCAUAUGCUGGUAGGGCCCGGUCAUUUGCAAAACGAUCAGGUUAUUCGGUGUUUAAACACUGAAAAUAUUCGAUAUUUUUCAGUAAUCGAAUUAUUCGAUAUUCGAAGUUAUAAUUGUGAUCCUUGGUUGUGACAGCACAACAGGUUAUCUAUGACAAAAUCGAGUCAGAACAGAUUAUGCCAGUACAGACAGGUGUGCAGUGUGAUUGAAUAUACUUCUGAGCUCUUCACGUGUUCGGAGAGCAAAUAUAUUUACGAUUUUGGGGAUGAACACUACGAGGGGUAUAUGGUGUUCGAGUCAUGAAGUUGGUUUGUGUAAUUGUUCAUCUGGAACAACCAGUUCAGGAAAAUAAUCUACUUAUUAUUUCACGUCAUGGUCAAGUCACCUCUCCAGCUCAGCUUCCUGAUUUUCCACAAGCUGCAACUCCUGGCCAAGUGAUGGAAGAGCAGGAAAUAAGAUUCGAACAACCUCAUAUAGGCGUGCUGUGACCGAAUGAAGUUCAGCAACUGCAUGAUCUAGCAGGAGAGGAUGGACGCGAACGCCACCAUAUGUUGCCGUGUACGCUGCUGUCACCUCGGCCAGCAGUCUUCCCAGAGGAUGAUGCUGACUCUCAAAUGCCUGCAUGCAACACAGCUCUACAUUUGGCUUACUGCCCUUUGCUGCUGUUGGUUCUGGCACGCCUAACUGCUGAUAGCACUGCCGAAAAAUGGCCUUCCACUUCUGAUUUGCAGCAACACACAAUUUUCCGAAGGAGCUGCAGCACAUGUAAAUAGAAGACAAGAGAUGAUAUACGCAUGAUGACCUUUGUGUGUUCAAUGCAUGCAAAGAAAUCUACACCGAAGUAAACUCAUUAAUCAGUUUACAAAAACAUAUGUUGAAGGCUUACCGUAAGAACAUCUUGUGUGAAAGCACCUUCAUA